UAGGAGGUGGUGUAGUGGGAGCACCAAGAGUUUUGAUCUCUUGAGGAUAGGUUCGAGUCCUUUCUUUCUAG
Esox lucius (northern pike) is the source of this 71-nucleotide non-coding RNA. The record is from Ensembl. NCBI's taxonomy places the organism in Eukaryota, Metazoa, Chordata, Actinopteri, Esociformes, Esocidae.